CAGCAGUGGGGAAUAUUGCACAAUGGGCGAAAGCCUGAUGCAGCGACGCCGCGUGAGGGAUGACGGCCUUCGGGUUGUAAACCUCUUUCAGCAGGGAAGAAGCGAAAGUGACGGUACCUGCAGAAGAAGCGCCGGCUAACUACGUGCCAGCAGCCGCGGUAAUAUGUAGGGCGCAAGCGUUGUCCGGAAUUAUUGGGCGUAAAGAGCUCGUAGGCGGCUUGUCGCGUCGGAUGUGAAAGCCCGGGGCUUAACCCCGGGUCUGCAUUCGAUACGGGCAGGGUAGAGUGUGGUAGGGGAGAUCGGAAUUCUUGGUGUAGCGGUGAAAUGCGCAGAUAUCAGGAGGAACACCGGUGGAGAAGGCGGAUCUCUGGGCCAUUACUGACGCUGAGGAGCGAAAGCGUGGGGAGCGAACAGGAUUAGAUACCCUGGUAGUCCACGCCGUAAACGUUGGGAACUAGGUGUUGGCGACAUUCCACGUCGUCGGUGCCGCAGCUAACGCAUUAAGUGCCCCGCCU
RNAcentral lists this ribosomal RNA (515 nucleotides) under Streptomyces peucetius. Its description in RNAcentral is "bacterial SSU rRNA". It matches the Rfam family "Bacterial small subunit ribosomal RNA", at positions 349 to 874 of the family's 1533-position model. Lineage: Bacteria; Bacillati; Actinomycetota; Actinomycetes; Kitasatosporales; Streptomycetaceae. The record is from RNAcentral.